This 497-nucleotide ribosomal RNA is filed under the name uncultured bacterium. RNAcentral's name for it is "partial 16S ribosomal RNA". It matches the Rfam family "Bacterial small subunit ribosomal RNA", at positions 28 to 507 of the family's 1533-position model. The record is from RNAcentral.
GAUGAACGCUGGCGGCGUGCCUAAUACAUGCAAGUCGAGCGAACGGACGAGAAGCUUGCUUCUCUGAUGUUAGCGGCGGACGGGUGAGUAACACGUGGAUAACCUACCUAUAAGACUGGGAUAACUUCGGGAAACCGGAGCUAAUACCGGAUAAUAUUUUGAACCGCAUGGUUCAAAAGUGAAAGACGGUCUUGCUGUCACUUAUAGAUGGAUCCGCGCUGCAUUAGCUAGUUGGUAAGGUAACGGCUUACCAAGGCAACGAUGCAUAGCCGACGUGAGAGGGUGAUCGGCCACACUGGAACUGAGACACGGUCCAGACUCCUACGGGAGGCAGCAGUAGGGAAUCUUCCGCAAUGGGCGAAAGCCUGACGGAGCAACGCCGCGUGAGUGAUGAAGGUCUUCGGAUCGUAAAACUCUGUUAUUAGGGAAGAACAUAUGUGUAAGUAACUGUGCACAUCGUGACGGUACCUAAUCAGAAAGCCACGGCUAACUACGUG